GAUGAACGCUGGCGGCGUGCCUAAUACAUGCAAGUCGAGCGAACAGACGAGGAGCUUGCUCCUCUGACGUUAGCGGCGGACGGGUGAGUAACACGUGGAUAACCUACCUAUAAGACUGGGAUAACUUCGGGAAACCGGAUCUAAUACCGGAUAAUAUAUUGAACCGCAUGGUUCAAUAGUGAAAGACGGUUUUGCUGUCACUUAUAGAUGGAUCCGCGCCGCGUUAGCUAGUUGGUAAGGUAACGCUUUACCAAGGCGACGAUGCGUAGCUGACCUGAGAGGGUGAUCGGCCACACGGGAACUGAGACACGGUCCAGACUCCUGCGGGAGGCAGCAGUAGGGAAUCUUCCGCAAUGGGCGAAAGCCUGACGGAGCAACGCCGCGUGAGUGAUGAAGGUCUUCGGAUCGUAAAACUCUGUUAUUAGGGAAGAACAAAUGUGUAAGUAACUAUGCACGUCUUGACGGUACCUAAUCAGAAAGCCACGGCUAACUACGUG
RNAcentral lists this ribosomal RNA (497 nucleotides) under uncultured bacterium. Its description in RNAcentral is "partial 16S ribosomal RNA". It matches the Rfam family "Bacterial small subunit ribosomal RNA", at positions 28 to 507 of the family's 1533-position model. The record is from RNAcentral.